GAUUAAGUUAUUAAGGGCGCACGGUGGAUGCCUUGGCACUAGAAGCCGAUGAAGGACGUUACUAACGACGAUAUGCUUUGGGGAGCUGUAAGUAAGCUUUGAUCCAGAGAUUUCCGAAUGGGGAAACCCAGCAUGAGUUAUGUCAUGUUAUCGAUAUGUGAAUACAUAGCAUAUCAGAAGGCACACCCGGAGAACUGAAACAUCUUAGUACCCGGAGGAAGAGAAAGAAAAUUCGAUUCCCUUAGUAGCGGCGAGCGAAACGGGAAGAGCCCAAACCAACAAGCUUGCUUGUUGGGGUUGUAGGACACUCUAUACGGAGUUACAAAGGACGACAUUAGACGAAUCAUCUGGAAAGAUGAAUCAAAGAAGGUAAUAAUCCUGUAGUCGAAAAUGUUGUCUCUCUUGAGUGGAUCCUGAGUACGACGGAGCACGUGAAAUUCCGUCGGAAUCUGGGAGGACCAUCUCCUAAGGCUAAAUACUCUCUAGUGACCGAUAGUGAACCAGUACCGUGAGGGAAAGGUGAAAAGCACCCCGGAAGGGGAGUGAAAUAGAACCUGAAACCGUGUGCUUACAAGUAGUCAGAGCCCGUUAAUGGGUGAUGGCGUGCCUUUUGUAGAAUGAACCGGCGAGUUACGAUUUGAUGCAAGGUUAAGCAGUAAAUGUGGAGCCGUAGCGAAAGCGAGUCUGAAUAGGGCGUUUAGUAUUUGGUCGUAGACCCGAAACCAGGUGAUCUACCCUUGGUCAGGUUGAAGUUCAGGUAACACUGAAUGGAGGACCGAACCGACUUACGUUGAAAAGUGAGCGGAUGAACUGAGGGUAGCGGAGAAAUUCCAAUCGAACCUGGAGAUAGCUGGUUCUCUCCGAAAUAGCUUUAGGGCUAGCCUCAAGUGAUGAUUAUUGGAGGUAGAGCACUGUUUGGACGAGGGGCCCCUCUCGGGUUACCGAAUUCAGACAAACUCCGAAUGCCAAUUAAUUUAACUUGGGAGUCAGAACAUGGGUGAUAAGGUCCGUGUUCGAAAGGGAAACAGCCCAGACCACCAGCUAAGGUCCCAAAAUAUAUGUUAAGUGGAAAAGGAUGUGGCGUUGCCCAGACAACUAGGAUGUUGGCUUAGAAGCAGCCAUCAUUUAAAGAGUGCGUAAUAGCUCACUAGUCGAGUGACACUGCGCCGAAAAUGUACCGGGGCUAAACAUAUUACCGAAGCUGUGGAUUGUCCUUUGGACAAUGGUAGGAGAGCGUUCUAAGGGCGUUGAAGCAUGAUCGUAAGGACAUGUGGAGCGCUUAGAAGUGAGAAUGCCGGUGUGAGUAGCGAAAGACGGGUGAGAAUCCCGUCCACCGAUUGACUAAGGUUUCCAGAGGAAGGCUCGUCCGCUCUGGGUUAGUCGGGUCCUAAGCUGAGGCCGACAGGCGUAGGCGAUGGAUAACAGGUUGAUAUUCCUGUACCACCUAUAAUCGUUUUAAUCGAUGGGGGGACGCAGUAGGAUAGGCGAAGCGUGCGAUUGGAUUGCACGUCUAAGCAGUAAGGCUGAGUAUUAGGCAAAUCCGGUACUCGUUAAGGCUGAGCUGUGAUGGGGAGAAGACAUUGUGUCUUCGAGUCGUUGAUUUCACACUGCCGAGAAAAGCCUCUAGAUAGAAAAUAGGUGCCCGUACCGCAAACCGACACAGGUAGUCAAGAUGAGAAUUCUAAGGUGAGCGAGCGAACUCUCGUUAAGGAACUCGGCAAAAUGACCCCGUAACUUCGGGAGAAGGGGUGCUCUUUAGGGUUAACGCCCAGAAGAGCCGCAGUGAAUAGGCCCAAGCGACUGUUUAUCAAAAACACAGGUCUCUGCUAAACCGUAAGGUGAUGUAUAGGGGCUGACGCCUGCCCGGUGCUGGAAGGUUAAGAGGAGUGGUUAGCUUCUGCGAAGCUACGAAUCGAAGCCCCAGUAAACGGCGGCCGUAACUAUAACGGUCCUAAGGUAGCGAAAUUCCUUGUCGGGUAAGUUCCGACCCGCACGAAAGGCGUAACGAUUUGGGCACUGUCUCAACGAGAGACUCGGUGAAAUCAUAGUACCUGUGAAGAUGCAGGUUACCCGCGACAGGACGGAAAGACCCCGUGGAGCUUUACUGUAGCCUGAUAUUGAAAUUCGGCACAGCUUGUACAGGAUAGGUAGGAGCCUUUGAAACGUGAGCGCUAGCUUACGUGGAGGCGCUGGUGGGAUACUACCCUAGCUGUGUUGGCUUUCUAACCCGCACCACUUAUCGUGGUGGGAGACAGUGUCAGGCGGGCAGUUUGACUGGGGCGGUCGCCUCCUAAAAGGUAACGGAGGCGCUCAAAGGUUCCCUCAGAAUGGUUGGAAAUCAUUCAUAGAGUGUAAAGGCAUAAGGGAGCUUGACUG
This 2376-nucleotide ribosomal RNA is filed under the name Staphylococcus aureus. Its description in RNAcentral is "partial 23S ribosomal RNA". It matches the Rfam family "Bacterial large subunit ribosomal RNA", at positions 1 to 2375 of the family's 2925-position model. The record is from RNAcentral. Lineage: Bacteria; Bacillati; Bacillota; Bacilli; Caryophanales; Staphylococcaceae.